ACCAACAUGGCAUAGUGGUGUGAGCGUUGGACUAGGAUGCUAAAGACCAGGGUUUGAAUCCCCGUUUAGCCA
This is a non-coding RNA of Phrynosoma platyrhinos (Desert horned lizard), 72 nucleotides long. The record is from the annotation of a GenBank genome assembly. Lineage: Eukaryota; Metazoa; Chordata; Lepidosauria; Squamata; Phrynosomatidae.